This 486-nucleotide ribosomal RNA is filed under the name uncultured bacterium. Its description in RNAcentral is "bacterial SSU rRNA". It matches the Rfam family "Bacterial small subunit ribosomal RNA", at positions 28 to 526 of the family's 1533-position model. The record is from RNAcentral.
GAUGAACGCUGGCGGCGUGCUUAACACAUGCAAGUCGAACGGUGAAGCAGAGCUUGCUCUGUGGAUCAGUGGCGAACGGGUGAGUAACACGUGAGCAACCUGCCCCGGACUCUGGGAUAAGCGCUGGAAACGGUGUCUAAUACUGGAUACGAGACGCAACCGCAUGGUUAGUGUCUGGAAAGAUUUUUCGGUCUGGGAUGGGCUCGCGGCCUAUCAGCUUGUUGGUGAGGUAAUGGCUCACCAAGGCGUCGACGGGUAGCCGGCCUGAGAGGGUGACCGGCCACACUGGGACUGAGACACGGCCCAGACUCCUACGGGAGGCAGCAGUGGGGAAUAUUGCACAAUGGGCGAAAGCCUGAUGCAGCAACGCCGCGUGAGGGACGACGGCCUUCGGGUUGUAAACCUCUUUUAGCAAGGAAGAAGCGAAAGUGACGGUACUUGCAGAAAAAGCACCGGCUAACUACGUGCCAGCCGCCGCUGUAACAC